This 34-nucleotide ribosomal RNA is filed under the name Dillenia ovata. RNAcentral's name for it is "partial 28S ribosomal RNA". Lineage: Eukaryota; Viridiplantae; Streptophyta; Magnoliopsida; Dilleniales; Dilleniaceae. The record is from RNAcentral.
UCGGCCACCGUGACCCGUACCCAUAGCGACCCCA